CUACGAGGGGCUGCAGUGAGGAAUAUUGCACAAUGGGGGGAACCCUGAUGCAGCAACGCCGCGUGGAGGAUGACGCAUUUCGGUGUGUAAACUCCUUUUAUAUGUCAAGAAAAUGACGGUAGCAUAUGAAUAAGCACCGGCUAACUCCGUGCCAGCAGCCGCGGUAAUACGGAGGGUGCAAGCGUUACUCGGAAUCACUGGGCGUAAAGGACGCGUAGGCGGGUUGGAAAGUCAGGUGUGAAAUCCUACAGCUUAACUGUAGAACUGCACUUGAAACUUCUAAUCUAGAGGAUGGGAGGGGGGGUGGAAAUAAUGGGGUAGGGGUUAAAUCCGUAGAUAUAAAUAGGGAAAACUAAAGCGGAGGCGAACUCCUGGAACAUUACUGACGCUAAGGCGUGAAAGCGUGGGGAGCAAACAGGAUUAGAUACCCCGGUAGUC
RNAcentral lists this ribosomal RNA (438 nucleotides) under uncultured bacterium. RNAcentral describes it as "partial 16S ribosomal RNA". It matches the Rfam family "Bacterial small subunit ribosomal RNA", at positions 339 to 795 of the family's 1533-position model. The record is from RNAcentral.